UACAGAGGUCCCAAGCGUUGUUCGGAUUUAUUGGGCGUAAAGGGUGCGUAGGCGGCGGAGUAAGUUGGGUGUGAAAUCCCGGGGCUCAACCUCGGAAUUGCAUUCAAUACUGCUUCGCUAGAGUACUGGAGAGGAGGCUGGAAUUUACGGUGUAGCAGUGAAAUGCGUAGAUAUCGUAAGGAAGGCCGGUGGCGAAAGCGAGCCUCUGGACAGUUACUGACGCUGAUGCACGAAGGCCAGGGGAGCAAACGGG
This 253-nucleotide ribosomal RNA is filed under the name uncultured bacterium. RNAcentral describes it as "partial 16S ribosomal RNA". It matches the Rfam family "Bacterial small subunit ribosomal RNA", at positions 524 to 776 of the family's 1533-position model. The record is from RNAcentral.